This 65-nucleotide transfer RNA is filed under the name Ichthyotettix mexicanus. Its description in RNAcentral is "tRNA-Cys". Lineage: Eukaryota; Metazoa; Arthropoda; Insecta; Orthoptera; Pyrgomorphidae. The record is from RNAcentral.
GGUUUUAUAUUCAAUAAUGAUUCUAGGCUGCAAUCCUAGGGGUGUAAAUUUGUUUACUAAGGCCU